UGGGGCGUCGUCUAACGGCAGGACACCGGGUUUUGGUCCCGGUAGUGGGGGUUCAAGUCCUCCCGCCCCAGCCA
This 74-nucleotide transfer RNA is filed under the name Candidatus Dadabacteria bacterium. RNAcentral's name for it is "tRNA-Gln". It matches the Rfam family "tRNA". Rfam says of the family: Transfer RNA (tRNA) molecules are approximately 80 nucleotides in length. Their secondary structure includes four short double-helical elements and three loops (D, anti-codon, and T loops). Further hydrogen bonds mediate the characteristic L-shaped molecular structure. tRNAs have two regions of fundamental functional importance: the anti-codon, which is responsible for specific mRNA codon recognition, and the 3' end, to which the tRNAs corresponding amino acid is attached (by aminoacyl-tRNA synthetases). tRNAs cope with the degeneracy of the genetic code in two manners: having more than one tRNA (with a specific anti-codon) for a particular amino acid; and 'wobble' base-pairing, i.e. permitting non-standard base-pairing at the 3rd anti-codon position. The record is from RNAcentral. Lineage: Bacteria; Pseudomonadati; Thermodesulfobacteriota; Candidatus Dadabacteria. RNAcentral also lists the same sequence under 1 other name.